AGACAGUCUGAUUUGGGGUAGUCUUAAUUGAUGAAUGGAAGGUUUUGUUAUACCAAAGUUCUGCCCAUGAUAUCUACUUGCUCCAUUUUAGGGGUUGUUCAUUACAAAAACACGGAAGGUAGAUUUCCAAACAAUGGUUAACUCUCUUGGUAUGACCAUCUGUUUGAGGAUGGAAGGCUAUACUAUGAUUCAACUUAGUUCCCCACAUUGAG
RNAcentral lists this unclassified non-coding RNA (212 nucleotides) under Hevea brasiliensis (rubber tree). The record is from RNAcentral. Lineage: Eukaryota; Viridiplantae; Streptophyta; Magnoliopsida; Malpighiales; Euphorbiaceae.